CUCUUUGUGGCUGGCCUCAUUGU
RNAcentral lists this microRNA (23 nucleotides) under Cordylochernes scorpioides. The record is from RNAcentral. Lineage: Eukaryota; Metazoa; Arthropoda; Arachnida; Pseudoscorpiones; Chernetidae.